This 468-nucleotide ribosomal RNA is filed under the name uncultured bacterium. RNAcentral describes it as "partial 16S ribosomal RNA". It matches the Rfam family "Bacterial small subunit ribosomal RNA", at positions 28 to 507 of the family's 1533-position model. The record is from RNAcentral.
GACGAACGCUGGCGGCGUGCUUAACACAUGCAAGUCGAACGGACAGGCCCUGCUUUUGUUGGGUGCUCGAGUGGCGAACGGGUGAGUAACACGUGAGUAACCUGCCCUUGACUUUGGGAUAACUUCAGGAAACUGGGGCUAAUACCGGAUAGGAGCUCCUGCUGCAUGGUGGGGGUUGGAAAGUUUCGGCGGUUGGGGAUGGACUCGCGGCUUAUCCGCUUGUUGGUGGGGUAGUGGCUUACCAAGGCUUUGACGGGUAGCCGGCCUGUGAGGGUGACCGGCCACAUUGGGACUGAGAUACGGCCCAGACUCCUACGGGAGGCAGCAGUGGGGAAUAUUGCACAAUGGGCGGAAGCCUGAUGCAACAACGCCGCGUGCGGGAUGACGGCCUUCGGGUUGUAAACCGCUUUCGCCUGUGACGAAGCGUGAGUGACGGUAAUGGGUAAAGAAGCACCGGCUAACUACGUG